AUUGAACGCUGGCGGCAGGCCUAACACAUGCAAGUCGAGCGGAUGAAGGGAGCUUGCUCCUGGAUUCAGCGGCGGACGGGUGAGUAAUGCCUAGGAAUCUGCCUGGUAGUGGGGGAUAACGUCCGGAAACGGGCGCUAAUACCGCAUACGUCCUGAGGGUGAAAGUGGGGGAUCUUCGGACCUCACGCUAUCAGAUGAGCCUAGGUCGUAUUAGCUAGUUGGUGGGGUAAAGGCCUACCAAGGCGACGAUCCGUAACUGGUCUGAGAGGAUGAUCAGUCACACUGGAACUGAGACACGGUCCAGACUCCUACGGGAGGCAGCAGUGGGGAAUAUUGGACAAUGGGCGAAAGCCUGAUCCAGCCAUGCCGCGUGUGUGAAGAAGGUCUUCGGAUUGUAAAGCACUUUAAGUUGGGAGGAAGGGAAGUAAGUUAAUACCUUGCUGUUUUGACGUUACCAACAGAAUAAGCACCGGCUAACUUCGUG
Molecule: ribosomal RNA, 484 nt
Filed under: uncultured bacterium
Lineage: Bacteria
Description: partial 16S ribosomal RNA
Rfam family: Bacterial small subunit ribosomal RNA
Source: RNAcentral